Molecule: ribosomal RNA, 1537 nt
Filed under: Salmonella enterica subsp. enterica serovar Typhimurium
Lineage: Bacteria; Pseudomonadati; Pseudomonadota; Gammaproteobacteria; Enterobacterales; Enterobacteriaceae
Description: partial 23S ribosomal RNA
Rfam family: Bacterial large subunit ribosomal RNA
Source: RNAcentral
GAUUCGUCACACUAUCAUUAACUGAAUCCAUAGGUUAAUGAGGCGAACCGGGGGAACUGAAACAUCUAAGUACCCCGAGGAAAAGAAAUCAACCGAGAUUCCCCCAGUAGCGGCGAGCGAACGGGGAGGAGCCCAGAGCCUGAAUCAGCAUGUGUGUUAGUGGAAGCGUCUGGAAAGGCGCGCGAUACAGGGUGACAGCCCCGUACACAAAAGCGCAUGUGCUGUGAGCUCGAUGAGUAGGGCGGGACACGUGGUAUCCUGUCUGAAUAUGGGGGGACCAUCCUCCAAGGCUAAAUACUCCUGACUGACCGAUAGUGAACCAGUACCGUGAGGGAAAGGCGAAAAGAACCCCGGCGAGGGGAGUGAAAAAGAACCUGAAACCGUGUACGUACAAGCAGUGGGAGCACCCUUCGGGGUGUGACUGCGUACCUUUUGUAUAAUGGGUCAGCGACUUAUAUUCUGUAGCAAGGUUAACCGUAUAGGGGAGCCGGAGGGAAACCGAGUCUUAAUUGGGCGUUAAGUUGCAGGGUAUAGACCCGAAACCCGGUGAUCUAGCCAUGGGCAGGUUGAAGGUUGGGUAACACUAACUGGAGGACCGAACCGACUAAUGUUGAAAAAUUAGCGGAUGACCUGUGGCUGGGGGUGAAAGGCCAAUCAAACCGGGAGAUAGCUGGUUCUCCCCGAAAGCUAUUUAGGUAGCGCCUCGUGAAUUCAUCUCCGGGGGUAGAGCACUGUUUCGGCUAGGGGGCCAUCCCGGCUUACCAACCCGAUGCAAACUGCGAAUACCGGAGAAUGUUAUCACGGGAGACACACGGCGGGUGCUAACGUCCGUCGUGAAGAGGGAAACAACCCAGACCGCCAGCUAAGGUCCCAAAGUCAUGGUUAAGUGGGAAACGAUGUGGGAAGGCCCAGACAGCCAGGAUGUUGGCUUAGAAGCAGCCAUCAUUUAAAGAAAGCGUAAUAGCUCACUGGUCGAGUCGGCCUGCGCGGAAGAUGUAACGGGGCUAAACCAUGCACCGAAGCUGCGGCAGCGAACGUAUCACCCAAGACAACUUUACGGAGUUGACGAUUGACGGAGCGAAGCGACGUCAAAGCGUUCAUUAAAGUCGAGUUGGCUUAGGGAUACGUUCGUUGGGUAGGGGAGCGUUCUGUAAGCCUGUGAAGGUGUGUCGUGAGGCAUGCUGGAGGUAUCAGAAGUGCGAAUGCUGACAUAAGUAACGAUAAAGCGGGUGAAAAGCCCGCUCGCCGGAAGACCAAGGGUUCCUGUCCAACGUUAAUCGGGGCAGGGUGAGUCGACCCCUAAGGCGAGGCCGAAAGGCGUAGUCGAUGGGAAACGGGUUAAUAUUCCCGUACUUGGUGUUACUGCGAAGGGGGGACGGAGAAGGCUAUGUUGGCCGGGCGACGGUUGUCCCGGUUUAAGCGUGUAGGUGUGUGUUCCAGGUAAAUCCGGUUCACUUUAACACUGAGGCGUGACGACGAGGCACUACGGUGCUGAAGCAACAAAUGCCCUGCUUCCAGGAAAAGCCUCUAAGCAUCA